This 214-nucleotide long non-coding RNA is filed under the name Panax ginseng (ginseng). Its description in RNAcentral is "long non-coding RNA (PGIN_LNC003578)". Lineage: Eukaryota; Viridiplantae; Streptophyta; Magnoliopsida; Apiales; Araliaceae. The record is from RNAcentral.
UUACACAAUAGUUUAAGACUUUGUUCGGAUGGAUUUGAUUCGUUUCGAACUUGGAAUUUGAUCCAAAAUUUGUUCCGGACUCGGGAUUUGACUUCAGUUGUUUCAUAUGAUAUCAAAGUCGACUAUCGAAAGCUCGGGUCUGGUCAUCCGAUCUAAUUGUCGGAGGUGUGGACACAAAGGCUAGUAUUAUUAUCCCAUAAUAGAGAGAUAGAGG